This 600-nucleotide ribosomal RNA is filed under the name uncultured bacterium. RNAcentral describes it as "bacterial SSU rRNA". It matches the Rfam family "Bacterial small subunit ribosomal RNA", at positions 740 to 1345 of the family's 1533-position model. The record is from RNAcentral.
CUGACGCUCAUGCUCGAAAGUGCGGGUAUCGAACAGGAUUAGAUACCCUGGUAGUCCGCACGGUAAACGAUGGAUGCCCGCUGUUUGCCAUUUGUGGUAAGCGGCCAAGCGAAAGCAUUAAGCAUCCCACCUGGGGAGUACGCCGGCAACGGUGAAACUCAAAGGAAUUGACGGGGGCCCGCACAAGCGGAGGAACAUGUGGUUUAAUUCGAUGAUACGCGAGGAACCUUACCCGGGCUUGAACUGCACAGGAAUGCGGGAGAGAUCCCAAAGCCCCUCGGGGCCUGUGUGGAGGUGCUGCAUGGUUGUCGUCAGCUCGUGCCGUGAGGUGUCGGCUUAAGUGCCAUAACGAGCGCAACCCUUCUCUUCAGUUGCCAUCACUUCGGGUGGGCACUCUGGAGACACUGCCACCGUAAGGUGUGAGGAAGGUGGGGAUGACGUCAAAUCAGCACGGCCCUUACGUCCGGGGCUACACACGUGUUACAAUGGCGCGUACAGAGGGCUGGCAUACGGUAACGUGUGUCUAAUCCUUAAAACGCGUCUCAGUUCGGACUGGGGUCUGCAACCCGACCCCACGAAGCUGGAUUCGCUAGUAAUCGC